RNAcentral lists this ribosomal RNA (908 nucleotides) under uncultured bacterium. Its description in RNAcentral is "bacterial SSU rRNA". It matches the Rfam family "Bacterial small subunit ribosomal RNA", at positions 11 to 915 of the family's 1533-position model. The record is from RNAcentral.
GUUUGAUCCUGGCUCAGAUUGAACGCUGGCGGCAUGCCUUACACAUGCAAGUCGAACGGCAGCGCGGGGCAACCUGGCGGCGAGUGGCGAACGGGUGAGUAAUAUAUCGGAACGUACCCUGGAGUGGGGGAUAACGUAGCGAAAGUUACGCUAAUACCGCAUACGAUCUAAGGAUGAAAGUGGGGGCUUCGCAAGAACCUCAUGCUCCUGGAGCGGCCGAUAUCUGAUUAGCUAGUUGGUGAGGUAAAGGCUCACCAAGGCUUCGAUCAGUAGCUGGUCUGAGAGGACGGCCAGCCACACUGGAACUGAGACACGGUCCAGACUCCCACGGGAGGCAGCAGUGGGGAAUUUUGGACAAUGGGCGCAAGCCUGAUCCAGCAAUGCCGCGUGAGUGAAGAAGGCCUUCGGGUUGUAAAGCUCUUUUGUCAGGGAAGAAACGGUGAGAGCUAAUAUCUCUUGCUAAUGACGGUACCUGAAGAAUAAGCACCGGCUAACUACGUGCCAGCAGCCGCGGUAAUACGUAGGGUGCAAGCGUUAAUCGGAAUUACUGGGCGUAAAGUGUGCGCAGGCGGUUUUGUAAGUUUGUCGUGAAAGCCCCGGGCUCAACCUGGGAAUUGCGAUGAAGACUGCAAGGCUUGAAUCUGGCAGAGGGGGGUAGAAUUCCACGUGUAGCAGUGAAAUGCGUAGAGAUGUGGAGGAACACCGAUGGCGAAGGCAGCCCCCUGGGUCAAGAUUGACGCUCAUGCACGAAAGCGUGGGGAGCAAACAGGAUUAGAUACCCUGGUAGUCCACGCCCUAAACGAUGUCUACUAGUUGUCGGGUUUUAAUUAACUUGGUAACGCAGCUAACGCGUUAAGUAUCCCGCCUGGGAAGUAUGCUCGCAAGAGUGAAACUCAAAGGAAUUGACG